GUCUGCUCCAUGCUUUGGGCAGCUCUCAGGUGGAGUCUCUCUCCCUCUAAGACCGCAGCCUGGGAAGGUUGGAGCUCAAACGAGCACCUGUUGAGUUGCCGUGAGCUGCUUGGAUGUUGCCUCUGCCACCUGCCAGCCUCCCUGAUGGACAGAGUCCCCUCUCGGCUUGGACAGGAACGAGGUGACCAAUGGUCGGUGGCUCCGUAGUCCCACCCCACAGCUGGCUUCUCUGAGCCCUGCACAGUGGCAUCUCCAGGACACCUGCUGCCUCCAUCUAUUGGCAGAGCCGACAGCCCGCGGAGCAGGAAGCCUGAUUCCCAACCAGGCUCAUUGCUGUGUGUCUGUAAUUAAGGCCCUUGACAUCUCUGAACCUCAUUCUGCAGUUUCAGACAUCCAGGCCAGGCACCGGGCCUUCCCUCCUUCACAAGGCAGAGGGUACAAUGAGCUCACAUCCAGCGGCAUGCCCAGGGACUGGCAGAGAGCCAGCAUCCUACAAAUCCACAGCCUGUAAGCAUGGCUGCAAGGUGGCUGCUGUGGUUCCAGCCCUCAACUGCAGACACAAUCCUGUCCAGGGGACAAGAAAAGGAACUAUUUCUUCCCAGCCUGGAAGAAUCAUGGACAGGAGGGCGUGUGCCCAGCCAAGUGAGAUUUCCUCAGCCUUCAUCAGAACCGGGAUAGCAGUGUGCUUUAAAGCAUGGACUCCAGAGUCAGGCAGUGUAAAGACGGUUCCUGUUUCCACAACAGAGUCUCCACGCUGCCUCCCACUUUCAAACCAGAAACUCUCGAGUAGACAGAGAUGCCUUGUGAUCCAAUGAAGCCUGGCCCUGCCCAAAGAUCACCACUCUGCCCAUCCUAGGGGAUCCAGAAAUGCUUCUGAAUUUGUCCUCUGAGGACCUGGACCACGUCAAGAUUUGGAUGUUCAUUGGGAAGCUGUACUAGUCUGUUCUCACGUUGCUAAUAAAGACAUACCCAGGGCCAGGCAAGGUGGCUCACGCCUGUAAUCCCAGCACUUUGGGAGGCCAAGGUGGAUGGAUCACAAGGUCAGGAGUUCAAGACCAGCCUGCCCAAUGUGAUGAAAUCCAAUCUCUACCAAAAAUUCAAAAAAUUAGCCGGGCGUGGUGCUGGGCACCUGUAAUCCCAGCUACUCAGGAGGCUGAGGCAGAGAAUGGCUUGAACCUGGGAGGUGGAGGUUGCAGUGAGCCGAGAUCACACCACUGCACUCCAGCCUGGGUGACAGAGCGAGACUCUCUCUCAAAAAAAAAAAAAAAGACAUACCCGAGACUGGGUGAUUUAUAAAGAAAAAGAGGUUUAAUGGGUUUACAGUUCCACACGGCUGGGGAGGCCUCACAAUCAUGGCAAGAGGCACAUCUUACAUGGCAGCAGGCAAGAGAGAGAACAAGAACCAAGCAAAAGAGUUUUCUCCUUAUAAAACCAUCAGAUCUCGUGAGACUUACUCACUACCACGAGAACAGUAUGGGGGAACCACCAGUCCCUUCCACAACACAUGGGAAUUAUGGGAGCUACAAUUCAAGAUGAGAUUUGGGUGGGGACACAGCCAAACUAUAUCAGCAGGUGAAUCCGAGAGAAGGCAGAGGGAGCUGUGAAGGGCCCAUUGAUUCUAACAUUUCUUCGGCCCCCUGUUCGGAGUCCUCCAUGGCUCCCUAUUGCCUGCUUUCUCUAGAAUCCAAACUGCACCCUGACUUGGAGCAUCUUCAGCAGACAAGUCCAGCCUACUGAUCAUCUUUCAUUGAGCACAUUUUUCUCAGGUUCCGG
Molecule: long non-coding RNA, 1773 nt
Filed under: Homo sapiens (human)
Lineage: Eukaryota; Metazoa; Chordata; Mammalia; Primates; Hominidae
Description: HSALNT0290543
Source: RNAcentral